This 254-nucleotide ribosomal RNA is filed under the name uncultured bacterium. RNAcentral's name for it is "partial 16S ribosomal RNA". It matches the Rfam family "Bacterial small subunit ribosomal RNA", at positions 524 to 776 of the family's 1533-position model. The record is from RNAcentral.
UACGUAGGGACCGAGCGUUGUCCGGAAUCAUUGGGCGUAAAGAGCGUGUAGGCGGCCUUUUAAGUCCUGCGUGAAAUCCUGCGGCUCAACCGCAGACGGUCGUGGGAAACUGGAAGGCUAGAGUGCGGGAGAGGAGAGUGGAAUUCCCGGUGUAGCGGUGAAAUGCGCAGAUAGUCGGGAAGAACACCCGUGGCGAAGGCGGCUCUCUGGAACGCAACUGACGCUGAGACGCGAAAGCGUGGGGAGCAAACAGG